UCAUAGAGAUCUUUAUUUUAAUGUUGGCAUACAACUUGGAUUCAAAUAAAAAAAGGGACGAAUGGAUAACUAGGAUGGACCAAAUAGGACGGAAACCCCGAAAAGGCGAGGAAGAGACUUAGAAAUCGUAUGUCCUAGCGGAAACGCAGUAAAGAGAACUGGGAAGUGAAACAUCUCAGUACCAGAGCCGGAUCUUAAGAGAUCUCUUAAGGGUCCGUGGCGCAGGGAAAUCAAACGAGACUCCGUGAGUAGCGGUGAGCGAAAAUGGAUUAGUCCAAUGACUCAUUUAAAGCGAGUAAAUAAUGGAAGAUAGGUGCUCACACAUCUAAGACUAGAUGUUGGUCUCAUACCGAGAAAGGGAGUACUGUAAAGGAAAGUUGAAAGAGAUUUUAAAAGAUCUUGAAAUGAGUCCCUUAAAGCAGUUGUAAUACAACGUACCUUUUGUAUAAUGGGUUCACAAGAUAAAAUUUGGCAAACUUAAGUUCUAAGUAACAAAGGUAAAGCGAAACCAAGGGGGAAGUCCCUUUUAGUCAAAUUACCCGAAACCAAGUGAUCUAACCAUGGACAGCUCAAAGGAGCGAACCGGUGGUUGUAGCAAAAACCUCGGAUGAUCCGUGGUUAGGGGUGAAAGACCAAUCGAACUUGGAGAUAGCUGGUUUUCUGCGAAAACUAUUUAAGUAGUGCGCCUACAAAAUUAGAGCCCUUAUUGGAAACACACCAAGAUAUGGGAAUUUAUUUUUUCAUGGUAAAGUUCGAUCGCUUAAAAUUAAGGGAUUAACUGUGAACGUAAGAAAAUCGAAGUAGGUAGACAGACAGUAGGCGAUAAGGUUAAUUGUCAAAAGGGCAAGCCCUAAUCAGAAGUUAAAGUCAUAGAUUAAUUUAGGGUCCAAAAGGAUUUAAACAGUCAAGUGAGAAAGAGAUAUUGGGUUUAGACAAUGAGGAAGUAGGCUUGGAGCCAGCCACCUUUGAAAGAUGACGUAGCAGUUCACUCAAAAAAUUCUCCUAUCUCUAAAAUUAGGGUGGCUAAAUUGGAACUGAAACUCUGAAGGCGGCAUCCGCUUGGUAGCAGAACGUACUGUGAAAUAGCUCAGUGAGGACCCUAAGCAUCAGAAACGAUAAUGUGAACAUGAGUAAAAAAUCGUUGGAUCACUCCCCUAGGUCUCCAAGCUUGAGGGCUUGGGCCAUACAGUCCCUAAGACGGCAGCCUAAAGGCCGCAUCGAUAGGACAUAGUAAUAGACGCACUUGGUGCCAGGAAAAGAUUACUAGGCAUUCGGCCCCCUCUCUGUCCCUAUAAGGGGGAAGGAGAUGGGGCUCAUAGAAGUUACACUGUACUAACCUAACACAAGUGGGGGAUAGUGAGGGGAAAAGUUUUCUUAAGGAACUCGGCAAAAAUUUUGACACCCCAUUAGGGGGUUAUUUUAUAAUACAGGGCCUCGACUGUUUACCAAAAACAUAGCUCUCUGCCAAUAUGUAAAUAGAAGUAUGGAGGGUGAGGCCUGCCCAAUGGUUGUAUCUAAAAGGGUCGGUAAAAGCCGACCUCAUAAAGACAAUUCAAUGGCCGCGGUAACACUGACCGUGAUAAUGUAGCGUAAUCAAUAGCCAAUUAAUUGUUGGCCGGUAUGAAUGGCGUCACGAAGGCCCCACUGUCUUAAGAAAAUUCCCAGUGAAAUUGAAUUCGUAGUGAAGAUGCUACGUCCAAAUUGUUAGACGAAGAGACCCCAUUGAGCUUUACUGGAAACUUAUACGGCUGAAAUAUAUUUGGCUCAUAAAGACUGAUCUCGAUAAGAUCUAUUAAGAGCGAGGGAUUUAAACUUAAAUAAAUAGCUAAAUUAUGUGGUGUAAGACAUUUUGUCAAAGUCUUAUUCUUCGAUCCUACUCUCAUAAAGAGAAAAGGGAUCUUAAUCUAAGAUUUUACCGUUUUAGGCUAUCGGUCGAAGCCGUAGGCCAAUGGAGCCCACUUUUUUAUUUUAAGAAAGCUAACUCUCUUUCAUGAUUUUGCAAUGAUGAGAGAAACAACGUAAGUUAGACAGUUUGGUUGGGGCGACCGCCUUUUAAAAAGUAACAAAGGUGAGCUUAAGGUGCAUAAUUAAUAACAGCAACCUGACUGCAAGGGGGACGUCCCGAGCAGACACCAGAAGCCGACAAGAACUAUAAUCUGUAAUAGAUACAAAUUCUUAAAGCGGAAAAGGGUGGGCUAUAAUGACCCGUUAAUUUAGAGUGAGAUAGUUAACGAUCAACGGAUAAAAGCUACCAUGGGGAUAACAGCGUAAUAUCGUUCGAGAGCUUCCAUCGACGACGAUGUUUGCGACCUCGAUGUUGAAUUGCAGCAUCCUGGGGUGCAGUCGCUCCCAAGGGUUGGUCUGUUCGUCCAUUAAGGCUGCACAUGAUUUGAGUUAAAAGCGUGGUAACACAGCUUGGUUUCUAUCUACAAUUUGAAGAAACAUCGAUAUAAUUAUUUUCUAGUACGAAAGGACCGAAAGAUUAAUGAUCCUCUUAUUUUCUAUAAGUUACGAUCAAUUUAGAUCCCUUUGGAUCAGGGCCUCAUAAAAAAAAAUUGGGGGUUUUAGCUAAUCACUGACUGCCUCUAAAGUGUGAAGGACAUAUCGAAUUGUUUAGAUUUUAUUUUAGAUUAAAAAUCAU
Molecule: ribosomal RNA, 2641 nt
Filed under: Stichopathes sp. n. NB-2020
Lineage: Eukaryota; Metazoa; Cnidaria; Anthozoa; Antipatharia; Antipathidae
Description: 16S ribosomal RNA
Rfam family: Bacterial large subunit ribosomal RNA
Source: RNAcentral